CAAAAAGUAGCUUACACCACAAAGCAUCUGGCUUACAACCAGAAGACGCUGUCCAUACAACCUUUUUGA
Molecule: transfer RNA, 69 nt
Filed under: Aspidoscelis scalaris (rusty-rumped whiptail)
Lineage: Eukaryota; Metazoa; Chordata; Lepidosauria; Squamata; Teiidae
Description: tRNA-Val
Rfam family: tRNA
About the family: Transfer RNA (tRNA) molecules are approximately 80 nucleotides in length. Their secondary structure includes four short double-helical elements and three loops (D, anti-codon, and T loops).
Source: RNAcentral